UGGUGGCGGGCGGGGCUUUACACAUGCAAGUCGAACGCAUCCUUCGGGGUGAGUGGCAGACGGGUGAGUAACGCGUGGGAACGUGCCCUUCAGUUCGGAAUAACCCAGGGAAACUUGGGCUAAUACCGGAUACGUGCGAGAGCAGAAAGAUUUAUCGCUGAAGGAUCGGCCCGCGUCUGAUUAGCUGGUUGGUGGGGUAAUGGCCCACCAAGGCGACGAUCAGUAGCUGGUCUGAGAGGAUGAUCAGCCACAUUGGGACUGAGACACGGCCCAAACUCCUACGGGAGGCAGCAGUGGGGAAUAUUGGACAAUGGGCGCAAGCCUGAUCCAGCCAUGCCGCGUGAGUGAUGAAGGCCUUAGGGUUGUAAAGCUCUUUCGUCCGGGACGAUAAUGACGGUACCGGAAGAAGAAGCCCCGGCUAACUUCGUGCCAGCAGCCGCGGUAAUACGAAGGGGGCUAGCGUUGUUCGGAAUCACUGGGCGUAAAGGGCGCGUAGGCGGCUUUGUAAGUCGGGGGUGAAAGCCUGUGGCUCAACCACAGAAUUGCCUUCGAUACUGCAUGGCUUGAGACCGGAAGAGGUUAGUGGAACUGCGAGUGUAGAGGUGAAAUUCGUAGAUAUUCGCAAGAACACCAGUGGCGAAGGCGGCUGACUGGUCCGGAUCUGACGCUGAGGCGCGAAAGCGUGGGGAGCAAACAGGAUUAGAUACCCUGGUAGUCCACGCCGUAAACGAUGAAUGCCAGCCGUUGGCGAGCUUGCUCGUCAGUGGCGCAGCUAACGCU
RNAcentral lists this ribosomal RNA (780 nucleotides) under Microvirga flocculans. Its description in RNAcentral is "bacterial SSU rRNA". It matches the Rfam family "Bacterial small subunit ribosomal RNA", at positions 34 to 859 of the family's 1533-position model. The record is from RNAcentral. Lineage: Bacteria; Pseudomonadati; Pseudomonadota; Alphaproteobacteria; Hyphomicrobiales; Methylobacteriaceae.